RNAcentral lists this ribosomal RNA (630 nucleotides) under Listeria monocytogenes. RNAcentral's name for it is "partial 23S ribosomal RNA". It matches the Rfam family "Bacterial large subunit ribosomal RNA", at positions 415 to 1045 of the family's 2925-position model. The record is from RNAcentral. Lineage: Bacteria; Bacillati; Bacillota; Bacilli; Caryophanales; Listeriaceae.
CGGCGGAACACGUGAAAUUCCGUCGGAAUCCGGGAGGACCAUCUCCCAAGGCUAAAUACUCCCUAGUGACCGAUAGUGAACCAGUACCGUGAGGGAAAGGUGAAAAGCACCCCGGAAGGGGAGUGAAACAGUUCCUGAAACCGUGUGCCUACAAGUAGUUAGAGCCCGUUAAUGGGUGAUAGCGUGCCUUUUGUAGAAUGAACCGGCGAGUUACGAUUUGUUGCAAGGUUAAGCGGAAAAAGCGGAGCCGUAGCGAAAGCGAGUCUGAAUAGGGCGCAUAAGUAACAGGUCGUAGACCCGAAACCAGGUGAUCUACCCAUGUCCAGGAUGAAGGUAAGGUAAUACUUACUGGAGGUCCGAACCCACGCACGUUGAAAAGUGCGGGGAUGAGGUGUGGGUAGCGGAGAAAUUCCAAUCGAACUUGGAGAUAGCUGGUUCUCUCCGAAAUAGCUUUAGGGCUAGCCUCGAGGUAAAGAGUCAUGGAGGUAGAGCACUGUUUGGACUAGGGGCCCUUCUCGGGUUACCGAAUUCAGAUAAACUCCGAAUGCCAUGUACUUAUACUCGGGAGUCAGACUGCGAGUGAUAAGAUCCGUAGUCGAAAGGGAAACAGCCCAGACCACCAGUUAAGGU